Molecule: long non-coding RNA, 335 nt
Organism: Lathyrus oleraceus (garden pea)
Lineage: Eukaryota; Viridiplantae; Streptophyta; Magnoliopsida; Fabales; Fabaceae
Exons: 2
Source: RefSeq, a predicted model, not a curated record
CAAGUCCUACAAUGAUGUAUGCACAUUCAUAGGACCAAUUUAGACAUGCUGUUUACCAGGCUCCAUUUGGUCAACCUUUGAGCUUUGAUUAUUCACAGAACUAUUAGAUGAUAUGUAGGGAGGAAGGUUUGUAUUUGGAUUCGGAAGUUAUGUUGUAAGCCUUAUAGGAGAUCUCAUAUUAAGUUCAUUUUUCAGUACUCCUUUAUAUAGACCCUUGUUUGUUUUCUAUUAUUGUAGUAUGUAUGACUUUGAUUUUCAGUUUUGAUGGUUACAGUACUUCUUAUGUUACAGUUUAUAAAAUAGUGAACUCUAGUGGAUUUAUGCAUUUGUUAUAA